UACGUAGGGUGCAAGCGUUGUCCGGAAUUAUUGGGCGUAAAGAGCUCGUAGGCGGUCUGUCGCGUCUGGUGUGAAAACUCAAGGCUUAACCUUGGGCCUGCAUCGGGUACGGGCAGACUAGAGUGCGGUAGGGGAGACUGGAAUUCCUGGUGUAGCGGUGAAAUGCGCAGAUAUCAGGAGGAACACCGGUGGCGAAGGCGGGUCUCCGGGCCGUAACUGACGCUGAGGAGCGAAAGCAUGGGGAGCGAACAGG
This 253-nucleotide ribosomal RNA is filed under the name uncultured bacterium. RNAcentral's name for it is "partial 16S ribosomal RNA". It matches the Rfam family "Bacterial small subunit ribosomal RNA", at positions 524 to 776 of the family's 1533-position model. The record is from RNAcentral.